RNAcentral lists this ribosomal RNA (194 nucleotides) under uncultured bacterium. RNAcentral's name for it is "partial 16S ribosomal RNA". It matches the Rfam family "Bacterial small subunit ribosomal RNA", at positions 226 to 419 of the family's 1533-position model. The record is from RNAcentral.
UGAGCCUGCACUUGAUUAGUUUGUUGGUGGGGUAAUGGCCUACCAAGACUGUGAUCAAUAGCUGAUUUGAGAGGAUGAUCAGCCACAUUGGGACUGAGACACGGCCCAAACUCCUACGGGAGGCAGCAGUGGGGAAUCUUGCACAAUGGAGGAAACUCUGAUGCAGCGAUGCCGCGUGAGUGAAGAAGGCCCUU